Cyanistes caeruleus (blue tit) is the source of this 2126-nucleotide long non-coding RNA. The record is from Ensembl. Lineage: Eukaryota; Metazoa; Chordata; Aves; Passeriformes; Paridae.
GGCAGCGCUGCCGGGCACCCGCGGGGCCGCCACCCCUUCACGGCCUCCCUCCGCACGCCCCCGCAGGGAGAACAAGCGGCAGAGAGAGGAAGCGGCACCUCAGCCGGGCUCCCUGGCUGGCCACACUGAGCUCCGAGAGCUUCUGUGCAGGAACGCUGCUCCGUGCCUUCCCUGAAGAAAAACCCGUGACGCUCAUCACCUGAUGACCUUGAUAAAGCAUUGAAGAGCCACCUGUCCGGCACCUGCCUCCAAUAUUGAUCUUGGAGCAUCGUGGCCUGAGACGAUUCUCAGGUCUCCUGUUUGCUGUUCCUAUUCGAGGCACAUCUGAAGAUGGUUAAGAAAUUAUUUUAAAACGAGUGAAAGUCCCCACCUUUCCCUGCUGUGACAAGGCAACAGGACUCCCACUGUCAAAUGUGCAGUCUUUAUGUACAAGCUUGAAAGAAAGGCUGACAGUUCAUGAGAUGACAGGGUACAAACAUGGUUAUAAAGGGACUUGCCAGUGACACAAAAAAAAAUCUUAGCAUGCUUUUGCUUUUUCCUCUAAAGAUUCCCAAGUUCUCCUCCUGUCUCUGUAUCUCAGUACGACUCCCCACGACUUGUUAAUGUGAAUUAUCACUACCAGUCCUCCAGGAGCUCGUUUCUUUUCUGUCCUGUUACUGACCUCACUGUUCACAGUGCUAUUACCUCUUUGACCCUCUACUCUGAUUUUUCUUUCCCCAUUUCCCUGUCUCCACCUCUGAAGCUGUCAUACCUGCUGUCAUAAUUCCUGCCUAUUUACUUCAGUCCUUCUCACCUGCCAUUUCAAACCUUUCUUCCCUCUUUUAAAGGCCUGUUUUCAAUUUAUUGGGUUCUUUCCACUUUCACUUCAAUGAAUUUCUAUCACCCUCUUUUGAACUUCAGUAUUUUCUUCUCCAUUUCUGCAGUUUGUUGUCUGCUGUUACUUUCUUCCCCUCCGGGCCAGCUCACCUUUCCUCUUCAGAGCUCCAACCCAUCCCUCCACCUGGUCUCUUGUGUCACGGUGAGAUCCUGGAUAUACCGCACGACACUUCCCACAGAUGGCAGCCCUCAGCCACUCCAGGCAAAGCAAAAACCUCGUAUCCACCCAAGAGCUCUGAAGAUACCAUGAAUGAAGUAAAUUGCUAACAGAAAGAUGGCACCUGCAAUUAAAGCUAACACUCACUCAAAAACUGCGUGAGAACAAAUAUAAAGGCCAAAGGAAUCAGGAUGGCAGUUUGGAAUUCACAGAGCUGCCACGUAAGUCACAUGAAGUAAUAACUGAAAUGCAUUAAAAGGAACACAAUACAAUGACUCAUUAAAUCUCUGUAUGCAAAACCGAGUCUCCAAUUUAUCAUGUACUUAGAUGGCAAGGGUCCAGAAAACUCUGCUUUAAAUCUUAGGGGAAAAAAUCAAAAGAGCUUGUAGCUAAGUGUGGUACAGACAAGAAAAUCCAUUUAUGUAGUCACAGAUGGUACAGGCAAAGGGAGGAAAGAGAACCUUCUGGAGAAGAGAAGGUUGCAUGGAGAAUUCAUAGAAACCUUCCAGUAUCUAAAAGGGGCCUUCUGGCAAGCCAGAGAGAGACUUUUCAUCUUUUCAUUCUUUUCAGGAAUUGUAGUGAUAGGGUAAGAAAUAAUGGAAAGAGGGGAAAUUUAGGUUAGCUAUUAGAAUUUUUUUUCCUUUGAUGGUGGUGAGACACUGGACCAGGUUGCCCAGGGAGGUUAUGGGUGCCCCAACCCUGGCAGUGUUCAAAGCAAGGUUGGAUAAGGCCUUGAGCAGCCUGGUCUAGUUGAGGUGUCCCUUUCCAAGGCGGGUGGUGUACAAGUAGAUGAUCUUUAAGGUUCAUUCCAACCCCUUAGCAUUCUGCUAUUCCAUGAAAACCCCGUCUCUUCAUCGCAGUAAGAGACACGGGCGGCACCACUAAACCCUGUGCCCUUUAAAACUCAUCCUCCAUAAACAGAGGAAGCAAGCAAUGAAUUACCAACAUGUGCAAACCGCAGGAACUGCUGAUGUCAUCGGGAUUAAAGAAAGGCGCCUGCCGAGGCACAACCAAGCGAGACAGCCCAGCGGCAGCACCACUCCACGGCCAGAGCGGGCGCCGGCACCGCCCGGCAGGCGGCCCGGAGAGAGCG